RNAcentral lists this ribosomal RNA (255 nucleotides) under uncultured bacterium. RNAcentral's name for it is "partial 16S ribosomal RNA". It matches the Rfam family "Bacterial small subunit ribosomal RNA", at positions 524 to 776 of the family's 1533-position model. The record is from RNAcentral.
UACGUAGGGUGCGAGCGUUGUCCGGAAUUAUUGGGCGUAAAGAGCUUGUAGGCGGUUUGUCGCGUCUGCUGUGAAAAUCCCGAGGCUCAACCUCGGGCUUGCAGUGGGUACGGGCAGGCUAGAGUGCGGGUAGGGGAGAAUGGAACUCCUGGUGUAGCGGUGGAAUGCGCAGAUAUCAGGAAGAACACCGAUGGCGAAGGCAGUUCUCUGGGCAUUACCUGACGCUGAGGAGCGAAAGUGUGGGGAGCGAACAGG